This 362-nucleotide unclassified non-coding RNA is filed under the name uncultured fungus. RNAcentral's name for it is "sequence contains ITS1". The stretch from base 1 to 107 matches the Rfam family "5.8S ribosomal RNA", at positions 50 to 154 of the family's 154-position model. The record is from RNAcentral. Lineage: Eukaryota; Fungi.
GAAAUGCGAUACCUGGUGUGAAUUGCAGAAUCCCGCGAACCAUCGAGUCUUUGAACGCAAGUUGCGCCCGAGGCCAUUCGGCCGAGGGCACGCCUGCCUGGGCGUCACGCUAAACACGCUCCCACCCCCUCAUCGGGGAGUUGGAUGCGGCAUGUGGCCUCCCGUCGCGCAAGGGGCGGUGGGCCGAAGAUAUGGCUGCCGGCGUAUCGUGCCGGACACAGCGCGUGGUGGGCGACCUCGCUUUACUUACCGCAGUGCGUCCGACGCAUAGCCGACGUGAUGGCCUCGAAGGACCCUAUGAACGGUGCGCACGACGCUUCGACCGCGACCCCAGGUCAGGCGGGACUACCCGCUGAAUUUAA